This 2728-nucleotide small RNA is filed under the name Pan troglodytes (chimpanzee). RNAcentral's name for it is "retained intron". The record is from RNAcentral. Lineage: Eukaryota; Metazoa; Chordata; Mammalia; Primates; Hominidae.
CAAAUUAUUUUUACUUCUCUAUUCUUAGUCUUGUUGAGUCACUGUGUAUAAUGAAUUAACUUCUGUAUGCACCUAGAAUAGUACUGGCUAUGUAUUAUCCCUGACAAGACUGAGGAAAUAGUCACUUUCUGUGUGGCCUAACAAUGGCCUAGAAAAGCUGGACUAGACCAUCUGUUGAGCUCCUUCUAGCUCUAAUUUUAUUUAAUUCUAUAUUUCAUCCACAAAAUUAGUUUGAUACUGUACUUUAUAAAAUUGGGGGAAGGAGUCCUUUUCUCAUAUGUGAUGCUAAUUGAUUUUUGAGAAAAUAUCUUGGUAUUCAUUUUACCCUAAGAGCUGCUACUACCUGCCCAUUUUAUCUUGCUUUAUGCACCAGUGUCACAGUUGUGCUCAACCCAUUUAAAUGUCUAAGAACUUUUAUUCUUAGUCUCAAUAUGAAUUUUUGGCAUCAUACUAUUAAUAAUUAAAGGAACACAUUUAGAAGAGGACUGUCUUUUGAUAAAGUGUUUAAGGUAGAGACAAAUUUUCCCUUUUCUUUUCGAGUGAUAAAUAUAUAUUAGGUAGGUAGUCAUAACACAUUUGUUUUAGACAUUUAUUCAAUCAUUUGUUCAGUCUUAUUAAAUACCUAUCAUGUGUCAAGAACCAAUGCUAGGUUUUGAAUUUAAAAAUGGAAAGGGCUAAAUAGCUGCAUGAUCUUGGAUGAGAGUACACACACACGCACACACAUACAUAUAUAUAUGUGGUCCUUCAUAAAUCUAAAAUGCUGUAAUUAUUAGGUAAUCUGCAGGGUGUAUUUUUUUUCCUCAGUCCCUUUGGGUGUGACUGCUGUACACAUUUUCAUGUUACCAUUGACAUCUUCAGUUUUUCAAUGUGAUGUGUAAUGCAUAUAAGCAGCAUAUGUAGUGGUUGAAGAGUACAGGCUGUCUGGAGUGGCACAGCCUGGGAUUCAGUUUACAUCUCUGUGCCUCAGUAUUCUCAGCUCUAGCAUGUUGAUAAUAAUUUCCUUCUUCCUAGGGUUUUGGUAGGAUUAAAUGAGUUAAUACAUGUAACACAUUUAGAACAAUGCAUGACACGUAAUAAGCAUUUAGUAAAAGCUAUUAUUAGUAUACAUGUGUGAAACAGGAAAAUAAUUUUUAAAAGUAUAUCAGGCAGUAGUGUAAAGGUAGAUCCCUUUGUAUAUUGGUAAAUGCCAAAAAUAACUUUAGGUAGCCUCUUUUUGUUGGGUAGUGUCAUCACUUCCUCACUGGGAAGAAAUCUUGUAACACCUGUGUUCAUUAGAAUUUCCUGUAGAUAGUGAGGAUAGUCACAUGGCAUUAAACAUUUAAAAUAUAUUUAGUGAAUUAUAGUCACAUGCUUUAAAAUGUUUUUCCAGAGCUCUUUCUGGCAGUUCUCUUUCCUUAGGUUUUCAGCAAGAUUUUUGUUUAUUCUACCACAAGAUUAAAUAAUAGUACAGUAUAUAUCAAAACCAACUUGAUCUGUUUUUCAUGGGCUUAGAAAUUUAUAACUUCAUUAUAAUUUGGUAUUUGACAGUGAACUUAAGUAAUGAGAGAAAUCUUUGUAAUAGAAUAUGUUGGUAAAUAUAUGCCUGUGAAGAAUUUUUAGUGAGUAGAGAAUAUUUAAUAAAAUGUUUAUUUUCUCCUUACACAUUAGCUGUUUGAAUAUUUUUUUAAAUGAUCAGUCAACUUCCAGAAGUUAUUUUUUAUACAGCUUGAUCCAAGGUCUUGAAGCCCUUCUUAUUAGUAGUGAUGGGAUGUAGUAGGAGUGACCCAAUUUUUGAAAUGUAGUAUCUAUUGAUUGUUUACAGGCUGCUUUAAGAUUUAAGCCUGUGUUUAUUAAUUUCAUGAUAAAAUUUAAUGUCAUUGAUAUUUAUGAAUUUCAGAUGACAAAUACUUUAUUAAUAAAGCUAUGUAAAUUAUAUUGGGAAUAAAUUGUUUAACAUGACUAAAGUUGUUUUAAAAUUAUUUCAAUGUUUAAGAUAAAAAUUUGUGACUUUUAAAAUUAAUUUCUCCUCUUGAUGUGUUUUUAGCUAUGCAAAAGCAGCCUUUUGUUUAGAGGAACUAAUGAUGACUAAUCCACACAACCACUUAUACUGUCAGCAGUAUGCUGAAGUUAAGUAUACCCAAGGUGGACUUGAAAACCUCGAACUUUCAAGAAAGUAUUUUGCACAGGCAUUGAAACUGAACAACAGAAAUAUGAGAGCUUUGUUUGGACUUUAUAUGUCGGCAAGUCAUAUUGCUUCUAAUCCAAAAGCAAGUGCAAAAACGAAAAAGGACAACAUGAAAUAUGCUAGUUGGGCAGCUAGUCAAAUAAACAGAGCUUAUCAGUUUGCAGGUCGAAGUAAGAAGGAAACCAAAUAUUCUCUUAAGGCUGUCGAAGACAUGUUGGAAACAUUGCAGAUCACCCAGUCUUAAGGUUUCAAAAACUCUUUGACAUUAGAUUUCACAACUGCACAAUUGAACUUAUUGGCCUGUAACUUAUUUACUAAAUGCUCAGUGCUAUAUAUAUACUACAGUAAUUUUCUGUUAAGAAGGCAGUUGUAAAGAAUGUGUUUAUAUAAACCUAAAAAUGCCUUUUACUGCUAAGUGGGAAGAUGGGAGAAAUCCAUGGAAGAGAGAUUUAAGACUUAUUGAUUGUACAUCAGUCUCUUCAUAUCACAUAUACAUGUAUAUAUAUAAAACUCUAAUGUAGUAUAACCUUGUUAAAUAAACCAUGAUGAUUUAUUAAACUUGCA